Molecule: ribosomal RNA, 524 nt
Filed under: uncultured bacterium
Lineage: Bacteria
Description: partial 16S ribosomal RNA
Rfam family: Bacterial small subunit ribosomal RNA
Source: RNAcentral
GACGAACGCUGGCGGCGUGCCUAAUACAUGCAAGUCGAGCGCAGGAAACUGACGGAACUCUUCGGAGGGAAGGCAGUGGAAUGAGCGGCGGACGGGUGAGUAACACGUAAGGAACCUGCCUCAAGGAUUGGGAUAACUCCGAGAAAUCGGAGCUAAUACCGGAUAGUUCAUCGGACCGCAUGGUCCGUUGAUGAAAGGCGCUCCGGCGUCACCUUGAGAUGGCCUUGCGGUGCAGUAGCUAGUUGGUGGGGUAACGGCCCACCAAGACGACGAUGCAAAGGCGCCCUGGGAGGGUGAUCGCCCACACUGGGACUGAGACACGGCCCAGACUCCGAGGGGAGGCAGCAGUAGGGAAUCUUCCACAAUGGACGAAAGUCUGAUGGAGCAACGCCGCGUGGGUGAUGAAGGCUUUCGGAUCGUAAAACUCUGUUGUAAGGGAAGAACACGUACGAGAGGGAAUGCUCGUACCUUGACGGUACCUUACGAGAAAGCCACGGCUAACUACGUGCCAGCAGCCGCCGUAA